Molecule: ribosomal RNA, 253 nt
Filed under: uncultured bacterium
Lineage: Bacteria
Description: partial 16S ribosomal RNA
Rfam family: Bacterial small subunit ribosomal RNA
Source: RNAcentral
UACGAAGGGGGCUAGCGUUGCUCGGAAUCACUGGGCGUAAAGGGUGCGUAGGCGGGUUUUUAAGUCAGAGGUGAAAUCCUGGAGCUCAACUCCAGAACUGCCUUUGAUACUGGAAGUCUUGAGUAUGGGAGAGGUGAGUGGAACUGCGAGUGUAGAGGUGAAAUUCGUAGAUAUUCGCAAGAACACCAGUGGCGAAGGCGGCUCACUGGCCCAUUACUGACGCUGAGGCACGAAAGCGUGGGGAGCAAACAGG